Lentinula boryana is the source of this 99-nucleotide non-coding RNA. Lineage: Eukaryota; Fungi; Basidiomycota; Agaricomycetes; Agaricales; Omphalotaceae. The record is from the annotation of a GenBank genome assembly.
GGUUCGAUGGUGUAGUUGGUUGGUUAUUGCAUCUGUCUAACAUAUAUAUAUAUAUAGAGUGGACACAGAAGGUCCCCGGUUCGAGCCCGGGUCGAAUCA